UAAAACCCAAGCCGAACCUGGACGUCAGGCUUCGGGCCGGGCCGUCAUCGCACGAGGCCGCACGACCUCGCUCGGUUCCUCCUUUUGCCGUGGCCGUGCCGCACCGCCGCCUCUUCUCCCGGCUGCACUCCCCCUGUCUUCCUCUCCUCCCGAGCCGGCGUCGCGCGCCCUGUGUUCCCGAGCAAGCGCCGGCCUCUCCCAUCCUCCCGAGCUCCUAUCCUUCUCCAGUUCUCCUCACCCGCACCUCCUAUUCCUCUCGUCCGCUCGCGCGCACUUCGGCCAUGGCCGCUGGGUUGAACCGGGAGAGAUCGAGAGAGAGAUGCAGAAUUACAGAUACAGUGGGUCAGAGGCGCUGCCGGGCGUGUCCCUCCAGUGCCAGCAUUUUAAGGCCCGAUGGCCUUUUGAGGAUGACAGAGGCCUCGUGAACACUUAACAGGCAGCUGGAUCCUUCAAAACCUUGAGGAGCCAUUGAGCUAUGUCUAUGUGACAGAAGCAUCUGUCACUCCGAUAGAUGACUCUAGUAGAGGUCUUCACAAUUUCUCAGGUUUGCCAAUGUCCGACGAUGAACAGCAAAACCUGGUGCUAAAAUCGAUUAUAACUUCGAUUUUAGAUUACUGUGAAGUUAUGUUGCUUAUCUUUGUAUCAAUUAGUUAGCAGUUGUUUCAUAUUAACAUAGUUUUACAGAGGUCUGAGGUAAAUCAAGAUGCUAUUAUCCUAGUAGUCUAGCAAGUAGCACGUUCCACCAUGUCCAUCCAUUUAUGUUUGAAUCGAUGACUAUUUUGAUUUUUGCUGCUGGCAGAAAAAAACAAUGCUGCUUCUCAGGCUCUAGAAAUAACUCCUAGCAGCUUGCAUAUAUCUCAUACUUGCGUUUUGAUUUGGGUGCUGAUGUUGCAUGUAGCCGAAAUGUGGACAAUUGUACAUGGUAUAUGUAUUUAGCACAUUGUCAAACUUGGGAUAAAUAUUGCGUGAAUAUGAAGUGCAAGAACUGUUCUAAGGAACCUAGAUGCUCAAACUAUCUUCCUUUUUCUGGAAUGGUGAUGUAAGUUUAUUGAAAAAUCGGGUCAAAAAAAGUUUAUUAAAAAAAGUAAAGGUUUGCAAUAUUGCAAAACAUGUCCCCUGAACUUCUUGGUAUUAUUCUAAUAUAAGAUGUUAUAAGGUUUUAUCAAACAUCCGGUGUAUAAUACUUGUUAACUAAAGACUGUUUAUAUUAUAUUUCCGCAGAUAGGGCGUUGUUAUGUACUGAAGAUAUCGCAUGUCCCAUGGUUUAGUGAGGAUGAGAGCAAUCGCUCUGGAGAACCAAGCAAUAUUGUGUGUUUCCUUAAAAACCGUCCUUCUUUCUUCAGUGCUUGUAGAGUUCUUUAAGUACUAAUAUGUGCAUAUCUAGAUGCUCCUCGUUUCGUAGAAUAGCAUGCUAUAUGAAACAAGUAAACAUAAACAAAUAAAUGAUAAAGCAUGUUCAUAGUUGAUAAGUCAUUGUCCUCACUUACUGCAUUCUAGGUCAUCAUGUAUGAAAAGAAAACUGGGCUUUUAAUCCCUCUGAUAGAUCAUUUUACUCUACCCCUUUUUGCAUGGUGUGUGGAUUUUCAGUCUUGGAUUAGAGCGAUGCUGAUGGAAGUUCUGCCUAUAUACUUCAAAUGUCAAUGUGUAACCUUCUGUACCUUUUGUUUGCAAAUCUAUACCCUCUGUACCUUUCAACUACACCAACUGAUAAAUCAUUUAUUAUUUAUCAAAAUGCAGUUGUUAGCUGAUGCUUUACUUUUGUUUAUCAAGGUUAUGUUCUUUGUGCACUCUACUGGGAGAGCCACAUGAAUAUGAUCCAUGUUAUUUUGUGAGUUGGAAUUGUUUGCAUGAUCUGUAGCAGAUGGGUUUUGAAGUGAUAUAAAGUCUGAAAAUCUGUAUAUAUGAUAAGUAGGCAAUGCGCAUCUUGAAGUAUCAUUAGUGAUCUCUUGAAACAUCAUUUGUGUGAGGGACAAAUAAGCGCCCAUAGAAAGUUGAGAUGGGAUGAACUCUACAAGAAUUGGGUGUUGGUGGAAAGAGGCAUACAGAAACACAAAUGAUGGAACAGUUUUUGGGUUGCUUAAGCAAGUACAUAAACUAUGUCUGCAAUCGAACAAGCGACUGAAAAAUUAUUGUUAACACAAAGUUUAUGGUUUCUUAAGGUUCAGUUAAUUAUUUGCGGAAAUUUCCAGAGGAUGUAAAAUAUGCUUGCAUCUUUGCCUGGUAUGAACAAAGGCCAUUAUUGAAAGGACGAUGGUACACAAUGGAUUGUGUCUGUUGCACACUCGCACUAUAGUCGGUCCCUGUUUCUAUCCAGUCAAAGUGCAUGUAGUAAACCGGUAGUGUGUUUCUACUUCAGUGCCUGGUUUUGAGAUAUGCUGAAAAAACUUGUUGGUAUUGCAAGUGAAGCUAGUGCGUCAGUCAGUUGUGGUUCUGAUCUUCUGGGCAGCUGCAAGGAGUUCAUUGCAGCAUCAAAAUUUGAAUCGUAAGUGUGGUUUGGUAAACAUUGUAACAUUCUGCUAUCUUUCUCACUGGUGGAAUACCAUGGUCCAUGACUAGGUACUAUCUUGCCUUGUUUUAUUCCUUUCAUGCUUGCAUGGACUGUAGCAGUUACUUUUACAUGACUUGUUAAGAGGCAGAGCUUAAGCCGCUUACUUUGUCUUUUGUCCGAUGUGCAAAUAUGCUUAUGCUGCACUGAUCAUGAUUUAGAAGUUAGAAGGCUCUGGUUCAAAACAUCUUCAUUUUCUUAUCUGUUUUCACUGAUCUCAUGUUUGGGCUUUGCAAUUGUCUCUAUCAGAUCUUCUCCAGUGCACUGGUGUAAAAUCGAUAUUGAAUUGCAUCGGAUAUUCGGAUGUCCUGAUCUCAACGAGCAUUCUGGAGAGGCAGUAAAGCGAGAUCGUUACUUGUCUUGAUUUCAUCUCUGAAGAUCAAUGCUACAAAUGUAAGGCUGGAGUUGAACAUGGGAGUACAUGUGUAAAUAAAUCGGCGAGUUGAAAAAAGGCUGGGAAAUUGAUUUAGGCGAAAGGCUGGUAAAUUGAUUUAGGCGAUUUCUCC
Molecule: long non-coding RNA, 3051 nt
Organism: Brachypodium distachyon (stiff brome)
Lineage: Eukaryota; Viridiplantae; Streptophyta; Magnoliopsida; Poales; Poaceae
Exons: 3
Source: RefSeq, a predicted model, not a curated record